Molecule: transfer RNA, 60 nt
Filed under: Strongylocotes lipogonus
Lineage: Eukaryota; Metazoa; Arthropoda; Insecta; Psocodea; Heptapsogasteridae
Description: tRNA-Pro
Source: RNAcentral
CAGGUGGUAGUUUAAUUAAAAUGUUAACUUUGGGUGUUAUGGUUCCUUCAGGUCACCUGA